Long non-coding RNA from Papaver somniferum (opium poppy), 590 nucleotides. RefSeq lists it as uncharacterized. The transcript is spliced from 2 exons. The record is from RefSeq and is a predicted model, not a curated record. NCBI's taxonomy places the organism in Eukaryota, Viridiplantae, Streptophyta, Magnoliopsida, Ranunculales, Papaveraceae.
GUGGUUUUGGAAUGUUUUGCUUACUGUUUGCCAUGACUAACCAUGACUCUCAUGGUUGUUUGUGGAUAUUCAGUGAAUGGUUUUACAAGCCAGUAAGGAGAGGAAACAAUGGUUGCAGUUGUGAUAGUUGCGCAAUGAGUUUUCACGUCGAGAAAAGUUAGGGAAGAACCCAUUAAGCAAAGGAAUAAUAUUUUGGUGCUGCGGGCUGUGAGUUGGUCCCUUAUGAGCUCGGAUGUGUCAUGUGAAUGUGUUGUUGUAGUUUAUAUCAAUAUGAGCUGAUAUUUGUUUGAAGAUGAAAAGGAGAAAGCUGGACGUUUAAGGAGAAGUUUGAGUUUCUUUGCAAGGUGUUUAAGGAAGCGUUCAGAGUUGAGAAAGUUGUUUUGUAUUGGUUACUAACAUGGAGAAAGCGUUCAGAGUAUGGCUAGAUUGCUAACAUGGAGAGAAUCAUGAAGGCACAAGCUUUGAGAGAUGGAGAUCAACUCUGAAAUCAUUAUAUGGCAGGCAAUGAGAAAAAUAUUAUAAGUUGCAUUGUACUAAUUUUCCAAUCUAUGUACUUUUUAGGAUCGCAAAUACAUUCUUAUUACGCGUUC